UAACUGAAGAGUUUGAUCAUGGCUCAGAUUGAACGCUGGCGGCAGGCUUAACACAUGCAAGUCGAGCGGGGGAAGGUAGCUUGCUACUGGACCUAGCGGCGGACG
Molecule: ribosomal RNA, 105 nt
Filed under: Acinetobacter baumannii
Lineage: Bacteria; Pseudomonadati; Pseudomonadota; Gammaproteobacteria; Moraxellales; Moraxellaceae
Description: partial 16S ribosomal RNA
Rfam family: Bacterial small subunit ribosomal RNA
Source: RNAcentral